RNAcentral lists this ribosomal RNA (253 nucleotides) under uncultured bacterium. RNAcentral's name for it is "partial 16S ribosomal RNA". It matches the Rfam family "Bacterial small subunit ribosomal RNA", at positions 524 to 776 of the family's 1533-position model. The record is from RNAcentral.
UACGUAGGUGGCAAGCGUUGUCCGGAUUUAUUGGGUUUAAAGGGUGCGUAGGCGGUCCUAUAAGUCAGUGCUGAAAUAUCCCAGCUUAACUGGGAGGGUGGCAUUGAUACUGCAGGACUUGAGUAGAGUCGAAGUAGGCGGAAUUGACGGUGUAGCGGUGAAAUGCUUAGAUAUCGUCAAGAACACCGAUAGUGAAGACAGCUUACUAGGCUCAAACUGACGCUGAGGCACGAAAGUGUGGGGAUCAAACAGG